This 247-nucleotide ribosomal RNA is filed under the name uncultured bacterium. Its description in RNAcentral is "partial 16S ribosomal RNA". It matches the Rfam family "Bacterial small subunit ribosomal RNA", at positions 523 to 769 of the family's 1533-position model. The record is from RNAcentral.
AUACGUAGGGUGCAAGCGUUGUCCGGAAUUAUUGGGCGUAAAGAGCUCGUAGGCGGCUUGUCGCGUCUGCUGUGAAAACCCGGGGCUCAACCCCGGGCCUGCAGUGGGUACGGGCAGGCUAGAGUGCGGUAGGGGAGAUUGGAAUUCCUGGUGUAGCGGUGGAAUGCGCAGAUAUCAGGAGGAACACCGAUGGCGAAGGCAGAUCUCUGGGCCGUAACUGACGCUGAGGAGCGAAAGCAUGGGGAGC